This is a non-coding RNA of Marasmius sp. AFHP31, 94 nucleotides long. The record is from the annotation of a GenBank genome assembly. Lineage: Eukaryota; Fungi; Basidiomycota; Agaricomycetes; Agaricales; Marasmiaceae.
GUCACUUUGCCGGAGUGGUUAACGGGAUCGCCUGCUAUCUUUCAGUGAGAGCGGUUGCUCUUUGAGCGCGUGUGUUCGAAUCGCACAGGUGACG